UUAAAUUGAAGAGUUUGAUCAUGGCUCAGAUUGAACGCUGGCGGCAGGCCUAACACAUGCAAGUAGAACGGUAACAGGAAGAAGCUUGCUUCUUUGCUG
RNAcentral lists this ribosomal RNA (99 nucleotides) under Escherichia coli O145:NM str. 2010C-3521. Its description in RNAcentral is "partial 16S ribosomal RNA". It matches the Rfam family "Bacterial small subunit ribosomal RNA", at positions 1 to 93 of the family's 1533-position model. The record is from RNAcentral. Lineage: Bacteria; Pseudomonadati; Pseudomonadota; Gammaproteobacteria; Enterobacterales; Enterobacteriaceae.